Juglans regia (Persian walnut) is the source of this 625-nucleotide long non-coding RNA. RefSeq lists it as uncharacterized. Lineage: Eukaryota; Viridiplantae; Streptophyta; Magnoliopsida; Fagales; Juglandaceae. The transcript has 3 exons. The record is from RefSeq and is a predicted model, not a curated record.
UUAGUACCCCAAAUCCCUUCAUCUCCCCUUCAGCCGGUCUCCUCCGCGCGCGACCCAUAAUGCUGAAACAUGAGUAGAGUGACCUGCAAUUUGUGGCGAAAACGUUGGGAUUUGUUGGAUCGGUGAUUGUUAAGAAGUUCCUAAAUCUCUGUCAAGUAUAUUUAUAAUCAAUAGUUUUUUUUUCUCUUCGCCGCUUCCAAAAAUUAUUUUCUGGAUGUGGAAAGGGAAAGAGCAUGCUGAGCACAAGUAUGGAGUUACAGAAAUAAUGAUGUAUAUUUGUACAAAAUGGGAUUGGACAGCACUUUGGACACUUAAAGGCUUGAAGAUUUAUGGAAAUACUUCCGAAUGAUGAUUUUAUCUUUUGUUGGUGUAUUUGUUUACACUCAAGUUAGAGAUGUACAAUGCAUUGUUUAUGUUUUAGUUUGGAAACUGAACUGGUGUAUUUCAUUCCAUGGUUGUAUGUUGAGUUAUAAGUGUUAAUUAAUUGUGAAGUAGGGAGUAUGUUAUUUAUAUGCACUGGAAUGAGGUGCUGCUUGGACAGCCUAAACUAUAUUUGUUAAAGUUAAAUCAGGUAAUUGAAUAACAUUCUGAUUAUAUGAAAUGAGUGGAGGAAUUUUCCAUGUAA